This 253-nucleotide ribosomal RNA is filed under the name uncultured bacterium. Its description in RNAcentral is "partial 16S ribosomal RNA". It matches the Rfam family "Bacterial small subunit ribosomal RNA", at positions 524 to 776 of the family's 1533-position model. The record is from RNAcentral.
UACGGAGGGGGCUAGCGUUGUUCGGAAUUACUGGGCGUAAAGGGCGCGUAGGCGGUGUAUUAAGUUAGAUGUGAAAUCCCUGGGCUUAACCUAGGAACUGCAUCUAAGACUGAUACGCUAGAGUGCGGUAGAGGAUAGUGGAAUUUCCGGUGUAGCGGUGAAAUGCGUAGAUAUCGGAAGGAACACCAGUGGCGAAGGCGGCUAUCUGGACUGACACUGACGCUGAGGCGCGAGAGCGUGGGGAGCAAACAGG